This is a long non-coding RNA of Panicum hallii, 536 nucleotides long. RefSeq lists it as uncharacterized. NCBI's taxonomy places the organism in Eukaryota, Viridiplantae, Streptophyta, Magnoliopsida, Poales, Poaceae. The record is from RefSeq and is a predicted model, not a curated record. The transcript has 2 exons.
ACACCUGCUUAGGUAUCUGCCUGAGAACUUUGUUAAGUUUUUCAAAAGAGAACCAUGUAUGGUUUGAGGAUCCAGAACAAAUGAGCAAAACAUUAACUGGGAAGAUAUCGCUUGCACAAACCUGUCAUGGAAGCCUGUUCACUUUGUGCUGCUGCUUCUGCUGCUACGAGACCUGCGAGUGCUGCCUCGAGACCAUCUGCUGCUGCUGCUAGUCCAGCUCGAGGAGACCAUCAAGGAGGUGCGGCCAAGCGGGACACUCAGAGCUGUCCCAUACAUGGGCCAUGGACCAUGGUUAUCAAUAAAAUGCUGUGCUUAUGCAAGUAUGUUAAAGAUGUAUUAAUGUCUGUAUGAUGUAAUGUUCGUGUGUCGGGGUGUGUGCGUGUGUGUGUGUGCAUAUUUGCAUUGAAAAAUGUUUUGUAAAAUGCUGUAAAUCUGCUGUAUCUUGCUCAGAUGAAUGCGUUAUUGUGAUCCUGCUGUAUCAAACUGAAAUUACCGCACUUCUAAGUCAGUAGGAUACAAGAUUACCUUUUUUUUAA